RNAcentral lists this small RNA (449 nucleotides) under Histoplasma capsulatum. RNAcentral describes it as "hypothetical RNA". The record is from RNAcentral. RNAcentral also lists the same sequence under 1 other name. Lineage: Eukaryota; Fungi; Ascomycota; Eurotiomycetes; Onygenales; Ajellomycetaceae.
CCCCCUAUCACCCAUUCGCCCUCUCAUAUGCUCUCACAUAUCUACAAAACACCCCUCUCCUCGCGAUCCCACUCCACACUCACAUAGUCUCUAAUGAUUCCUCCACAUAACCCCUAACAUUCUUCCACUCUGUGCUCCACUGCAGCACAACCCCUGAUAUUCUUCUGUCCUGAUCCUCCUUCUAUAAGAACCCCCUCAUACAACCCCUUCUUCUGAUCUUCUUUCUCUUUCUUUUCUUAAUUGAUUUGUAAACUGUUAUCAGGAUAGUGUCAAGUCCAUUGAUAUUGCUGUUGGAACAGAUCAUACAAACUGCACAGGUGGUACAAACAGUUUAAUCUGCAACAUUGGUAACAUCUGCUUAAUCAGUGGCACGCCCGUUACAUCCUCAUCAUUAAAUAUAUAGAUCAUUAUAUCUGAAUAUUUAUAAUAUAAACAACUGUUUUAUAAAG